Molecule: ribosomal RNA, 699 nt
Filed under: Triticum aestivum (bread wheat)
Lineage: Eukaryota; Viridiplantae; Streptophyta; Magnoliopsida; Poales; Poaceae
Description: partial small subunit ribosomal RNA
Source: RNAcentral
AUGUCGUUGUUUGAAAUGCUAGAGCACUAUGAGCGUUGCCUUGCGUCGCGACGGAUUAACGAAGCUCUCCAUGACGUCGAAGCCUUGCAGUCCGUUCCAUUUACAGAGGAAAAUGCUUCGCCGCUUGAGAAACACGCCGCAACAGUUUUCGCACCUAGGGUCUUUAAGAUGGUCUUAUGGAGCAUAGAUGCUGUCAGCAAAUGUCAGAUUAGAGAGAUACUAGAUGGAUCAGAAGAUUCCACUUAUGUUGUGUCCAAGCAGGAAAGAAUGGAUAAAAAGUUUGGAGUGCGCAUUGAAGAGCAAGGAGAUCUUUUGCACAGGAGGUACCGCGAGUUGCGGAAUUGUAGUCACGCCGCAAGUUUCCAGGCAUGCCACUCUGAUGAGGACUAUCACCGUCUAAAGAUGCUUUUGCAAGCACAACAUCAUGGCAAGCAAUCAAGUUUUGAACUAGCUGACAGCAAGGAGUCAACUAAUGCUCAGCAUAACAGCAUUAGGUUUGGCCCAUUGAUGCCGCACUCGCAGAAAGUUGAUAAGGUUCUGGAUCCCGUGCAUGUGCCAGGACGAGGUGCACCGAAGAAAAGGUUGCAGGCAAAGACAAAGAAGUCAAGAUCACAGAAUAUUUGUGGCUAUUGCAAGAAACCAGGUCACAAUCGACGUAAAUGCGCUAAAUUUCUAGAGGAUCUCGAGCCUGAACUGUGA